GACGAACCGUGCGAACGUUGUUCGGAAUCACUGGGCUUAAAGGGCGCGUAGGCGGGCCAUCAAGUCCGGGGUGAAAUCCUUCGGCUUAACCGGAGAAUUGCCUUGGAUACUGAUGGUCUUGAGGGAAGUAGGGGUCUGCGGAACUUCCGGUGGAGCGGUGAAAUGUGUUGAUAUCGGAAGGAACGCCGGUGGCGAAAGCGGCGGACUGGGCUUCUUCUGACGCUGAGGCGCGAAAGCUAGGGGAGCAAACGGG
This 253-nucleotide ribosomal RNA is filed under the name uncultured bacterium. RNAcentral describes it as "partial 16S ribosomal RNA". It matches the Rfam family "Bacterial small subunit ribosomal RNA", at positions 524 to 776 of the family's 1533-position model. The record is from RNAcentral.